This 723-nucleotide ribosomal RNA is filed under the name Serratia marcescens. Its description in RNAcentral is "bacterial SSU rRNA". It matches the Rfam family "Bacterial small subunit ribosomal RNA", at positions 68 to 784 of the family's 1533-position model. Lineage: Bacteria; Pseudomonadati; Pseudomonadota; Gammaproteobacteria; Enterobacterales; Yersiniaceae. The record is from RNAcentral.
GCACAGGGGAGCUUGCUCCCUGGGUGACGAGCGGCGGACGGGUGAGUAGUGUCUGGGAAACUGCCUGAUGGAGGGGGAUAACUACUGGAAACGGUAGCUAAUACCGCAUAACGUCGCAAGACCAAAGAGGGGGACCUUCGGGCCUCUUGCCAUCAGAUGUGCCCAGAUGGGAUUAGCUAGUAGGUGGGGUAAUGGCUCACCUAGGCGACGAUCCCUAGCUGGUCUGAGAGGAUGACCAGCCACACUGGAACUGAGACACGGUCCAGACUCCUACGGGAGGCAGCAGUGGGGAAUAUUGCACAAUGGGCGCAAGCCUGAUGCAGCCAUGCCGCGUGUGUGAAGAAGGCCUUCGGGUUGUAAAGCACUUUCAGCGAGGAGGAAGGUGGUGAGCUUAAUACGCUCAUCAAUUGACGUUACUCCCAGAAGAAGCACCGGCUAACUCCGUGCCAGCAGCCGCGGUAAUACGGAGGGUGCAAGCGUUAAUCGGAAUUACUGGGCGUAAAGCGCACGCAGGCGGUUUGUUAAGUCAGAUGUGAAAUCCCCGGGCUCAACCUGGGAACUGCAUUUGAAACUGGCAAGCUAGAGUCUCGUAGAGGGGGGUAGAAUUCCAGGUGUAGCGGUGAAAUGCGUAGAGAUCUGGAGGAAUACCGGUGGCGAAGGCGGCCCCCUGGACGAAGACUGACGCUCAGGUGCGAAAGCGUGGGGAGCAAACAGGAUUAGAUA